GUCUGCAACCCGACUACAUGAAGCUGGAAUCGCUAGUAAUCGCGGAUCAGAAUGCCGCGGUGAAUACGUUCCCGGGUCUUGUACACACCGCCCGUCACACCAUGGGAGUCGGAAAUGCCCGAAGUCUGUGACCUAACCGCAAGGGAGGAGCAGCCGAAGGCAGGUCGGAUGACUGGGGUGAAGUCGUAACAAGGUAAC
RNAcentral lists this ribosomal RNA (198 nucleotides) under uncultured bacterium. RNAcentral describes it as "partial 16S ribosomal RNA". It matches the Rfam family "Bacterial small subunit ribosomal RNA", at positions 1303 to 1500 of the family's 1533-position model. The record is from RNAcentral.